UACGGAGGAUGCAAGCGUUAUCCGGAAUGAUUGGGCGUAAAGCGUCCGCAGGUGGCUGUGUAAGUCUGCUGUUAAAGAGUCUAGCUCAACUAGAUACAAGCAGUGGAAACUACACGGCUAGAGUACGUUCGGGGCAGAGGGAAUUCCUGGUGUAGCGGUGAAAUGCGUAGAGAUCAGGAAGAACACCGGUGGCGAAAGCGUUCUGCUAGACCUGUACUGACACUGAGGGACGAAAGCUAGGGGAGCGAAUGGG
RNAcentral lists this ribosomal RNA (253 nucleotides) under uncultured bacterium. RNAcentral describes it as "partial 16S ribosomal RNA". It matches the Rfam family "Bacterial small subunit ribosomal RNA", at positions 524 to 776 of the family's 1533-position model. The record is from RNAcentral.